AACGAACGCUGGCGGCAUGCCUAACACAUGCAAGUCGAGCGGACCCUUCGGGGCUAGCGGCGGACGGGUGGGUAACGCGUGGGAAUAUGCCCUUCUGUACGGAAUAGUCCCCGGAAACGGGUGGUAAUACCGUAUAGUCUAUUUGGGGGAAAGAUUUAUCGGCGUAGGAUUAGCCCGCGUUGGAUUAGGUAGUUGGUGGGGUAAUGGCCUACCAAGGCGACGAUCCAUAGCUGGUCUGAGAGGAUGAUCAGCCACACUGGGACUGAGACACGGCCCAGACUCCUACGGGAGGGAGGAGUGGGGAAUAUUAGACAAUGGGGGCAACCCUGAUCUAGCCAUGCCGCGUGAGUGAUGAAGGCCUUAGGGUUGUAAAGCUCUUUCAGCCGGGACGAUAAUGACGGUACCAGGAGAAGAAGCCCCGGCUAACUCCGUG
This 433-nucleotide ribosomal RNA is filed under the name uncultured bacterium. Its description in RNAcentral is "partial 16S ribosomal RNA". It matches the Rfam family "Bacterial small subunit ribosomal RNA", at positions 29 to 507 of the family's 1533-position model. The record is from RNAcentral.